This 132-nucleotide small nuclear RNA is filed under the name Neogale vison (American mink). RNAcentral describes it as "Neovison vison (American mink) U4 spliceosomal RNA (ENSNVIG00000023050.1)". The stretch from base 1 to 68 matches the Rfam family "U4 spliceosomal RNA". From Rfam's summary of the family: U4 small nuclear RNA (U4 snRNA) is a component of the major U2-dependent spliceosome. The structure of U4 snRNA from yeast and human has been reported. U4 snRNA presents a k-turn RNA motif in the 5p-SL related to recognition of Snu13 protein. The record is from RNAcentral. Lineage: Eukaryota; Metazoa; Chordata; Mammalia; Carnivora; Mustelidae.
AGCUUUGCGCAGUGGCAGUAUCGUAGCCAAUGAGGUUUAUCCGAGGCGCGAUUAUUGCUAAUAGAUAUGGAAAAACUUGUUCUUCUCUUAGCUGCUUUGACAUUUGAGUCUGCAGUUAGUGUCUAAAUGGGC